This 334-nucleotide ribosomal RNA is filed under the name uncultured Latescibacterota bacterium. RNAcentral describes it as "bacterial SSU rRNA". It matches the Rfam family "Bacterial small subunit ribosomal RNA", at positions 29 to 351 of the family's 1533-position model. The record is from RNAcentral. Lineage: Bacteria; Pseudomonadati; Candidatus Latescibacterota.
AACGAACGUUGGCGGCGUGGAUUAGGCAUGCAAGUCGAACGGGGUGGGGGCAACCCCACCUAGUGGCGAACGGGUGAGUAGCGCGUGGGAAACCUGCCCUCGAGACGGGGAUAACACUUCCAACGAGGUGCUAAUACCGGAUAAGACCACGGGAUCGCAUGGUCCUGAGGUCAAAGAUGGCCUCUGCUUGCAAGCUAUCACUUGAGGAUGGUCCCGCGUCCCAUUAGCUUGUUGGCGGGGUAAUGGCCCACCAAGGCGACGAUGGGUAGCUGGUCUGAGAGGAUGGUCAGCCACACUGGGACUGAGAUACGGCCCAGACUCCUACGGGAGGCAG